This 253-nucleotide ribosomal RNA is filed under the name uncultured bacterium. RNAcentral describes it as "partial 16S ribosomal RNA". It matches the Rfam family "Bacterial small subunit ribosomal RNA", at positions 524 to 776 of the family's 1533-position model. The record is from RNAcentral.
GACAGAGGGUGCAAACGUUGUUCGGAAUUACUGGGCGUAAAGCGGGUGUAGGCGGUUUGGUAAGUCGGAUGUGAAAGCCCCGGGCUCAACCCGGGAAGUGCACUCGAUACUGCCAAGCUAGAGUAUCGGAGAGGUUGGUGGAAUUCUCGGUGUAGAGGUGAAAUUCGUAGAUAUCGAGAGGAACACCGGUGGCGAAGGCGGCCAACUGGACGAAUACUGACGCUGAGACUCGAAAGCGUGGGGAGCAAACGGG